Molecule: ribosomal RNA, 492 nt
Filed under: uncultured bacterium
Lineage: Bacteria
Description: partial 16S ribosomal RNA
Rfam family: Bacterial small subunit ribosomal RNA
Source: RNAcentral
AGUGAACGCUGGCGGCGGGCUUAACACAUGCAAGUCGAACGGCAGCACCGUAAGAGUUUGCUCUUAUGGGUGGCGAGUGGGGGACGGGUGAGGAAUACAUCGGACUCUACUCUUUCGGGGGGCUUCACGAAGGGAAACUUACGCUAAUACCGCAUCUGCCCCUGGGGUGAAAGCAGGGGAUCUUUGCACCUGGCGGGAUUGAACGAGCGGAUGUCGGAUUAGCUAGUUGGCGGGGUAAAGGCCCACCAUGGCGAGGAUCGGUAGCUGGACUGGGAGGAUGGUCGGCCACACUGGAACUGAGACACGGACCAGACUACUGCGGGAGGCAGCAGUGGGGAAUAUUGGGCAAUGGGCGCGAGCCUGAUCCAGCCAUACCGCGUGUGUGGAAAAGGCGUUCGGUGUGUAAAGCCCUUUUGUUGGGAAAGAAAAGCGGCAGGUUGAUACCCCGCGGUUCUGACGGUACCCAAAGAAUAAGCACCGGCUAACUUCGUG